This 29-nucleotide small RNA is filed under the name Arabidopsis thaliana (thale cress). RNAcentral describes it as "ATSL030110". The record is from RNAcentral. Lineage: Eukaryota; Viridiplantae; Streptophyta; Magnoliopsida; Brassicales; Brassicaceae.
AAAGAAUGUGUUCCUCUCCCCUUAUAAAA